Molecule: unclassified non-coding RNA, 537 nt
Filed under: Hevea brasiliensis (rubber tree)
Lineage: Eukaryota; Viridiplantae; Streptophyta; Magnoliopsida; Malpighiales; Euphorbiaceae
Source: RNAcentral
UCACGGACAGCAAGAAUUAGUUCAGAAUUUGAUUCUUGUGUCUUCUGAAGUUGUAUCUGAAGAUUGGCAUUAAGGUCCUUCUGAUAAUUCAACUCUUGCCUAAGCUCAUCUACAAGAGCUUGAAUAUCUCCAUUGUCGUAAAUCAACUUGUCUUUGGACCUUGUAUCAUCCAUCCGUCUCUGCGAGGCUUUAUAUUUAUCGCAUUCUUCCUUGAGAGCAUCUCGUUCCUCUUUCAAGCUAGUUACCUCUUUUGAUAGGUCCAUUCCCCUUUUGCUCUCCCUGACUAUCUGUUUCCGAAGAGUCUGUAGUUCCAAAUCUGUCAUGUCUGCCUGCCUAGCCAUAGCGAUGAGAUCUGUUUUGAGCUUUUCAACAACAUCUGAGUCCUCUUGUGAUGUUAAUGUUAGAAGAAGGGCUUCUUUCGGAGUGCCUGCAGAAGCAUCUGUACUUGCUUCAAAAGCAGAACCUCCCAUCCACUCCCAUUGUACAUCCGGACUUUCUUCAUGAACUGUUGUUGAGACAUUGCUAUUUUGCUUGAAG